Unclassified non-coding RNA from Macaca fascicularis (crab-eating macaque), 148 nucleotides. It matches the Rfam family "Metazoan signal recognition particle RNA". Rfam says of the family: The signal recognition particle (SRP) is a universally conserved ribonucleoprotein. It is involved in the co-translational targeting of proteins to membranes. The eukaryotic SRP consists of a 300-nucleotide 7S RNA and six proteins: SRPs 72, 68, 54, 19, 14, and 9. Lineage: Eukaryota; Metazoa; Chordata; Mammalia; Primates; Cercopithecidae. The record is from Ensembl.
GCCAGGCAUGGUGGCGCACGCCUGUAAUCCCAGCUACUUGGGAGGCUGAGGCAGGAGAAUUGCUUGAGCCUGGGAGGUGGAGGUUGCAGUGAGCCUAGAUCAUGCCACUGCACUCCAGCCUGGGCAACAGAGUGAGACUCUGUCUAAA